UUCAUUCAUUCAUCAAAAGACUCCGACGUACAGAGACAGGGUUGGUUGGUCCACCGGGGGCGGCGGAGGCCGCUCUGCCCCCGAGGCAAAAGUGGUUUGGUCAACAAAGGGUUGGGGACGGGGGCCCGGGGGCCCGCCAUCUCUGGUAAUGAUCCCUCCGCAGGUUCACCUACGGAGA
Molecule: unclassified non-coding RNA, 178 nt
Filed under: uncultured fungus
Lineage: Eukaryota; Fungi
Description: sequence contains ITS1
Source: RNAcentral